GCGCAGCAGGCGCGAAAACUUCGCAAUACGCGCAAGCGUGACGAGGGAACCCCAAGUACUCUUGCUUUUUGCAGGAGUUUUUGCCAAGUGUAAACAGCUUGGAGAAUAAGGGCCGGGUAAGACGGGUGCCAGCCGCCGCGGUAAUACCCGCGGCCCGAGUGGUGGUCAUUAUUAUUGAGCCUAAAGCGUCCGCAGCCGGUUUGGUAGAUGCCUGGGUAAAUCGAAUCGCUUAACGAUCCGAAUUCCGGGUAGACCGCCAAACUUGGGACCGGGAGAGGUUGGAGGUACUUCUGGGGUAGGGGUAAAAUCCUGUAAUCCUAGGAGGACCACCAGUGGCGAAAGCGUCCAACUAGAACGGAUCCGACGGUAAGGGACGAAGCCCUGGGGCGCAAACGGGAUUAGAUACCCCGGUAGUCC
This 417-nucleotide ribosomal RNA is filed under the name uncultured archaeon. RNAcentral's name for it is "partial 16S ribosomal RNA". It matches the Rfam family "Archaeal small subunit ribosomal RNA", at positions 330 to 747 of the family's 1478-position model. The record is from RNAcentral.